UUUAUGGAGAGUUUGAUCCUGGCUCAGGAUGAACGCUGGCGGCGUGCCUAAUACAUGCAAGUCGAGCGAACGGACGAGAAGCUUGCUUCUCUGAUGUUAGCGGCGGACGGGUGAGUAACACGUGGAUAACCUACCUAUAAGACUGGGAUAACUUCGGGAAACCGGAGCUAAUACCGGAUAAUAUUUUGAACCGCAUGGUUCGAAAGUGAAAGACGGUCUUGCUGUCACUUAUAGAUGGAUCCGCGCUGCAUUAGCUAGUUGGUAAGGUAACGGCUUACCAAGGCAACGAUGCAUAGCCGACCUGAGAGGGUGAUCGGCCACACUGGAACUGAGACACGGUCCAGACUCCUACGGGAGGCAGCAGUAGGGAAUCUUCCGCAAUGGGCGAAAGCCUGACGGAGCAACGCCGCGUGAGUGAUGAAGGUCUUCGGAUCGUAAAACUCUGUUAUUAGGGAAGAACAUAUGUGUAAGUAACUGUGCACAUCUUGACGGUACCUAAUCAGAAAGCCACGGCUAACUACGUGCCAGCAGCCGCGGUAAUACGUAGGUGGCAAGCGUUAUCCGGAAUUAUUGGGCGUAAAGCGCGCGUAGGCGGUUUUUUAAGUCUGAUGUGAAAGCCCACGGCUCAACCGUGGAGGGUCAUUGGAAACUGGAAAACUUGAGUGCAGAAGAGGAAAGUGGAAUUCCAUGUGUAGCGGUGAAAUGCGCAGAGAUAUGGAGGAACACCAGUGGCGAAGGCGACU
RNAcentral lists this ribosomal RNA (743 nucleotides) under Staphylococcus aureus. RNAcentral's name for it is "bacterial SSU rRNA". It matches the Rfam family "Bacterial small subunit ribosomal RNA", at positions 1 to 726 of the family's 1533-position model. The record is from RNAcentral. Lineage: Bacteria; Bacillati; Bacillota; Bacilli; Caryophanales; Staphylococcaceae.